CGCGUAGGUGGUUAGGUAAGCGAGAUGUGAAAGCCCCGGGCUUAACCUGGGAACGGCAUUUCGAACUGUCUGACUAGAGUAUGGUAGAGGGUAGUGGAAUUUCCUGUGUAGCGGUGAAAUGCGUAGAUAUAGGAAGGAACACCAGUGGCGAAGGCGGCUACCUGGACCAAUACUGACACUGAGGUGCGAAAGCGUGAGGAGCAAACA
This 207-nucleotide ribosomal RNA is filed under the name uncultured bacterium. Its description in RNAcentral is "partial 16S ribosomal RNA". It matches the Rfam family "Bacterial small subunit ribosomal RNA", at positions 568 to 774 of the family's 1533-position model. The record is from RNAcentral.